UCAUAUUGUCAGGCUGCGCAGAGUGUGCAGAACGGCCAGAAAAAGCAGAGUAACGGCUAGUUUCCGUGGGGGUUGGCUUAAAUAGCCACAGAGGACUGUAGCAAGGAGAUAACAGAUAUUCCACUCCAAGCAUUCAAGUUUUCAAGCUCUCCAAGUGCUCUUAAACGAAAAAGGGGAGAUCUGCAUUUACUGCUCCAACAACUUCUUCCCAACAAUCAAAGCUUCCUCCUCUUGCAUUCAAGUCGACCACUCUUUCAAGAGGAGACCGGAGUUCCAGAAGCCAUACCUCUUCACCAGCUUAAAAGCGUUUGAGGGCUUCUAACUCCUUUACGAUUAUAUUGUCUUAAAUCUGCUUUUUGAGAAGCUAUUUUCUGUUUUCUUCUAUCUCUUGUAUUUACUUGAUUCAAUCGGGG
This 413-nucleotide long non-coding RNA is filed under the name Phoenix dactylifera (date palm). RNAcentral describes it as "long non-coding RNA (PDAC_LNC020638)". Lineage: Eukaryota; Viridiplantae; Streptophyta; Magnoliopsida; Arecales; Arecaceae. The record is from RNAcentral.